UGUAGAGUACAAGAGUAUUAGACCUUCAAGACUGUACAAUAAUGAAGGUUGCUCUUCUUUUUGUCAUUAGCUGCUUCAUUGCAACUGCUUAUAGCAACAGCAUAAGUGCUGGAGAGAUUCAAGAAGAGAAAGUGGUUCCAAAGGAGUCAAUAUCAGCCACAAGUUGUACAUGUUCAUUUGCUCAAUGUAAAUUAAUUAAACCCCUAUACAAAUGUUCUGCUGACAGUGAAUGCAGGUGUUUAGACAACUUUAAAAAAUAUGCUCCUGAAUCCUGUGACUGCAUUGAGCGAUACUGCACAAGGGUUAGCGAUAAGCUAAUCUGCAAGUCGGUCAAUGGAGCUUGUAAAUGUCUUAUAAGUAACUGAGAAUGAACACUACAUUACAAUACAAGAUUUAUUAGCACAUUUAGUGUAGUAUAGUAUUAUUAGUUAUUAUCUUAAUAAAAAUUGAUAAUUGUCACACAAUGCCAAGGCAUUCAAAAAAGCCUCAAAAUUUAACAACAUUAUAAUACAACAAUUACAAAAUAAUGGUUGGGUCUUAAAUUGUACUUUCCCAAUAAAA
This is a long non-coding RNA of Amphimedon queenslandica, 561 nucleotides long. RefSeq lists it as uncharacterized. Lineage: Eukaryota; Metazoa; Porifera; Demospongiae; Haplosclerida; Niphatidae. The record is from RefSeq and is a predicted model, not a curated record. The transcript has 2 exons.